GGACCUGUCGCCUAGCCUGGAUAGGGCACCAACCUCCUAAGUUGGUUCUCGUGAGUUCAAAUCUCAUCAGGUCCG
This 75-nucleotide transfer RNA is filed under the name Candidatus Woesearchaeota archaeon. Its description in RNAcentral is "tRNA-Arg". It matches the Rfam family "tRNA". From Rfam's summary of the family: Transfer RNA (tRNA) molecules are approximately 80 nucleotides in length. Their secondary structure includes four short double-helical elements and three loops (D, anti-codon, and T loops). Lineage: Archaea; Nanobdellati; Candidatus Woesearchaeota. The record is from RNAcentral.